RNAcentral lists this ribosomal RNA (433 nucleotides) under uncultured bacterium. RNAcentral's name for it is "partial 16S ribosomal RNA". It matches the Rfam family "Bacterial small subunit ribosomal RNA", at positions 29 to 507 of the family's 1533-position model. The record is from RNAcentral.
AACGAACGCUGGCGGCAUGCCUAACACAUGCAAGUCGAACGAAACCUUCGGGUCUAGUGGCGCACGGGUGCGUAACGCGUGGGAACCUGCCCUUAGGUUCGGAAUAACUCACCGAAAGGGGUGCUAAUACCGGAUGAUCUCUUCGGGCCAAAGAUUUAUCGCCUUUGGAUGGGCCCGCGUUGGAUUGGCUAGUUGGUAGGGUAAAGGCCUACCAAGGCGACGAUCCAUAGCUGGUCUGAGAGGAGGAUCAGCCACACUGGGACUGAGACACGGCCCAGACUCCUACGGGAGGCAGCAGUGGGGAAUAUUGGGCAAUGGGCGAAAGCCUGACCCAGCCAUGCCGCGUGAGUGAUGAAGGCCUUAGGAUUGUAAAGUUCUUUUACCCGGGACGAUAAUGACGGUACCGGGAGAAGAAGCACCGGCUAACUCCGUG